AUGACAGAGAUGAAUGUUUCCCGGAAGAAGGAGAAGGACGACCGUGCUAAAGAGUCUCCUUCCAUAACGCUUCGGCCCAAACCUGAGUCUGUUUUGGCUGGCUGUCAACCAUGCCCGGCCAAGAGUCCGUUCCCCACCCCAAAUGAAAAAUUAGUUCGACACGACAUAUCUAACACUCUACCACAUAUGUUAUGGAGUGACUAA
Non-coding RNA from Vicia faba (fava bean), 204 nucleotides. The record is from the annotation of a GenBank genome assembly. Lineage: Eukaryota; Viridiplantae; Streptophyta; Magnoliopsida; Fabales; Fabaceae.